Molecule: long non-coding RNA, 997 nt
Organism: Lynx canadensis (Canada lynx)
Lineage: Eukaryota; Metazoa; Chordata; Mammalia; Carnivora; Felidae
Exons: 3
Source: RefSeq, a predicted model, not a curated record
UUUAACUCAAAAUAAUCUUUAUGCCAAAGUGGCCUAUCUUGGGGUGGCCUGCCCUUGGCCCCUACUGUUCCCACCGAUGGUGGUGGCUCUGGUUCCUGGCCUCCUGGUACCACCUUCUCCCUUGAUCUCUCUAGUCUUACGGGUAGUAGCAGCUCUCUGCUGUUGCAAAUAUGUGGCUUGCUCCUCCCUCCCUUCUCCCCCAUCCUUUCUUUGACUUUCCAAGUCUUUCAACACUUUUUUAAGCAGUUGCCUACAUCACACUCCCUCAACUGGAUUAUCUAGUAUGGGCUCUGUUUAGAAGAGAAUGUUAAUAGGGUACAUUUAUGAAAAUUAAUAAAUUCAUACUAGUACAAAAUUAUUAAUGAAACUAAAAACUUUUUAAAAUUUCACCGAUGGCCCCAAUAAUGUAUUUCCAAUAAUAUUUUUUUCUGUUCCAGGAACCAAACGAAAUUCCAUAUUGCAUUUAGUCAUCAGGCCUGCGUAAUUAACUUUGGUUUCUGACAAUUUAUUGAUCUUUUCUUGUUUUUAUGACCUUGACCUGAAGACCUCAGUUAUUUUGUGAAAGGCACUCACCUGCCGAAAAGAUAGAGUGCGGUGAUUGACAAGGCCUUGGACACAAGACAAGCCCUGGAGCUACAAUGAUUCGGGUCUUAACCCUCCUCCCAGCAUCACAAGGACUGAGAAAGAAUGACCAGAGCCUCUUGCCAGUCUCACAGCUCAGAAAUGUGUCCCCGAGGACCAAGAGCCAUCUCUAUGAAAUGUACUCCUCAAGGAAGAUGGUGCCCUGCCUCGCAGUUUCCUAGGAGAAGACAAACCUAACUUCAACUAUCAUCUGAGUUCACGUUGCAAAACCUGCCGAAUGUCACCAGGGCAUCCGCUCAGCUGUAACGGCGCAAGAUUUCCCCGCUGUCUGCCAUCUCUUUAGCAGAUGGCCAGAGAUGCAUAUCACAUUCUGGUUUAAUGCUUAUUCAAUAAAAAAAUUAUUUUCUUUCUCUUC